GGGGUUGUGGCUCAGAGGGAGAGUGCUUGCCUUCAUGCAUGAGGCACUGGGUUCGAUCCUCAGCACCACA
Molecule: transfer RNA, 70 nt
Filed under: Marmota monax (woodchuck)
Lineage: Eukaryota; Metazoa; Chordata; Mammalia; Rodentia; Sciuridae
Description: tRNA.Undet
Source: RNAcentral